GACGAACGCUGGCGGCGUGCUUAACACAUGCAAGUCGAACGGAAAGGCCCUGCUUUUGUGGGGUUCUCGAGUGGCGAACGGGUGAGUAACACGUGAGUAACCUGCCCUUGACUUUGGGAUAACUUCAGGAAACUGGGGCUAAUACCGGAUAGGAGCUCCUGCUGCAUGGUGGGGGUUGGAAAGUUUCGGCGGUUGGGGAUGGACUCGCGGCUUAUCAGCUUGUUGGUGGGGUAGUGGCUUACCAAGGCUUUGACGGGUAGCCGGCCUGAGAGGGUGACCGGCCACAUUGGGACUGAGAUACGGCCCAGACUCCUACGGGAGGCAGGGGUGGGGAAUAUUGCACAAUGGGCGGAAGCCUGAUGCAGCAAAGCCGCGUGCGGGAUGACGGCCUUCGGGUUGUAAACCGCUUUCGCCUGUGACGAGGCGUGAGUGACGGUAAUGGGUGAAGAAGCACCGGCUAACUACGUG
RNAcentral lists this ribosomal RNA (468 nucleotides) under uncultured bacterium. RNAcentral's name for it is "partial 16S ribosomal RNA". It matches the Rfam family "Bacterial small subunit ribosomal RNA", at positions 28 to 507 of the family's 1533-position model. The record is from RNAcentral.